GACGAACGCUGGCGGCGUGCUUAACACAUGCAAGUCGAACGGAAAGGCCCUGCUUUUGUGGGGUGCUCGAGUGGCGAACGGGUGAGUAACACGUGAGUAACCUGCCCUUGACUUUGGGAUAACUUCAGGAAACUGGGGCUAAUACCGGAUAGGAGCUCCUGCUGCAUGGUGGGGGUUGGAAAGUUUCGGCGGUUGGGGAUGGACUCGCGGCUUAUCAGCUUGUUGGUGGGGUAGUGGCUUACCAAGGCUUUGACGGGUAGCCGGCCUGAGAGGGUGACCGGCCACAUUGGGACUGAGGUACGGCCCAGACUCCUACGGGAGGCAACAGUGGGGAAUAUUGCACAAUGGGCGGAAGCCUGAUGCAGCAGCGCCGCGUGCGGGAUGACGGCCUUCGGGUUGUAAACCGCUUUCGCCUGUGACGAAGCGUGAGUGACGGUAAUGGGUAAAGAAGCACCGGCUAACUACGUG
RNAcentral lists this ribosomal RNA (468 nucleotides) under uncultured bacterium. RNAcentral describes it as "partial 16S ribosomal RNA". It matches the Rfam family "Bacterial small subunit ribosomal RNA", at positions 28 to 507 of the family's 1533-position model. The record is from RNAcentral.